GGAACUACAAUUCCAGCGUCGCAGAAGAGUUCCGCCCUGCUGUAAGCUAUGUUUUCCAAAGACAAAAUGGGCAAAUGUCGCAGUUUUCCAGUAUAGUUUGCGCUCCUAGCUCUCAUUAUUUUUACGUUUUCAAUGGAGUAUGGCUUCGUUGACUGUCACUGUCAUAUAUCAGCCCGUGAGUUUGAAGAGGAUCUAGAGGAUGUGAUCCAAAGGACCAGGGAGGCUGGGGUAAAGACUUUGGUUGCAGUUACAGAAGAAGCCAGAGAGUUUGAUAGAGUUCUCCAGCUGCAGGAACGUUAUCCGGAUCUGGUGGCUCCAUGUUUCGGCAUCCAUCCGCUGCAGGGCGGCGAGGGCCCCACGCAGCGCAGCGUGAAGCCUCAGGAGCUGGAUGCUGCCCUUCCACAGUUCUUCAAACACAGGGAACGCCUCGUCGCUAUCGGAGAGAUUGGUUUAGACUUCACGCCGUGGUGUGCUCCCACUCAGCAAGACCGAGACGGCCAGAUGGAUGUCUUCAUUAAGCAGCUAAACAUCGCCAAGGAGCUUGACCUGCCUGUGAACGUCCACUCCCGAUCAGCUGCUAAGGUCGUCAUAGCGACCAUGAGAGAACAAGGUGGGUGUCCCGCUCUACUUUGUGCAUUUACACGGCUGCGAAACCCACGUUUUGGACGUGCCGUUGUUGUGAUUUGUCCGUCAGGUGUCAGUCGGGCUCUGCUUCAUAACUUUGCGGGGAAGCCGGCGGUAGCUCUGGAGGGUGUGAAGGCCGGAUUCCUCUUCUCCUUUCCCCCCGCUGUCUGCAGGAACCAACAGAGAGACAAACUGAUCAAGCAGAUCCCGCUGGAACACAUCUGUCUCGAAACUGACUCUCCUGCACUGGGGCUCGACAAGCAUGUGAGGAACGAGCCCUGUAACAUCGUUCUGUCCUGCCGGUACAUCGCUGACGUCAAAGGUCUGUCGUCGCAAACUGUUCAGCUCAUCACCGCACAAAAUGCACGCCGACUUUUUCCCAAAGUUGACGCUCACCUGCAGUACACAUGUUUCUGAAAUGCAAUGUUUGGCCUGAGGGUGGCGCCAGAGGCAACUUAAAGAAAGGAGUUAUCAAUUUAACAUUUCAUCACUAUAGGCUGUGCUUUGUUAGGGCGAUUUCACACCUGCUGGUCUUGGUACGCUUUCAAUCGAACUCUGGAGCGGUUUGUUUGUGGUGAGAACGUGAUCCGACCUUGCGCCGCGCCAACUAUAUUUAUACUCCAGUCUGAGCUCAUAUCUGCUGUAGUCAGGUGGACUUAGCAAUAUGCGAUGCUGCAGAGCAGCCAAACUGUAGAAGACAGCAGUUAAGCUCGGCGUCCGUCACUCGCAUUUCCGUGGUCGAACCAGCCGCCACUAAAGUUGGAGACAGACGACGGCAGAGCAGAGCGAAGUGUAAGUGACCAGAACGGAUGUAGCAACAUCGCUCACGAAACAAUUUCCGAUUAUUUAAAUGAAAUGAGCUGAUUUGACCUUUGAGUCAUAUUCCAGAACACAGGAAAUGACACGUUUUGGUACUGUAGGAAUAUUUUAUUAAGAGUAUGUGUGUAUAUGCUAGUUGCAACAGAGCUCUGUGCAGUCAAAUUGAGGAAGUGGUUAAAAGUACUCCGGAUGACCUUUUGCAUGCACAGAAGGUUAAGCUUAAGUCAUGAAAAUAGUGUAGGCCUUAUGGCUUACAAGUGCAUUUUUUAAAGAUUACGAGAACAAGAAGAGGAGGUUACAGUUACACCACAAAGAGGCCCCAACCCUGACAUGUGUGGUGUAUGAAGAUAGCAGUUUCUGCCUAGAGACAGAGGAGGACACCGCCCUGCAAGAAGAGGAUAAGAACACAGGGAUCGUGCAGAACGGGGCUCACAACUUGACAGAGACUUUGCUGACCUGAGCUCCGUACACUCGUGUUUGAAGCUAGGGAAACUUAGUGUCAUUUGUGAACCCACAUAUGUGUUGUAAACGUAACUGCUGGACUUAGUAAACUCUGCUUGACUUGAA
This is an RNA transcript of Sander lucioperca (pikeperch), 2010 nucleotides long. It is a transcript of the gene named TatD DNase domain containing 3, with no coding region annotated. The transcript is spliced from 11 exons. NCBI's taxonomy places the organism in Eukaryota, Metazoa, Chordata, Actinopteri, Perciformes, Percidae. The record is from RefSeq and is a predicted model, not a curated record.